AAAGCGCACGUAGGCGGAUCUUUAAGUCGGGGGUGAAAUCCCGGGGCUCAACCCCGGAACUGCCUUCGAUACUGGGGAUCUUGAGUCCGGAAGAGGUGAGUGGAACUCCUAGUGUAGAGGUGGAAUUCGUAGAUAUUAGGAAGAACACCAGUGGCGAAGGCGGCUCACUGGUCCGGUACUGACGCUGAGGUGCGAAAGCGUGGGGAGCAAACAGGAUUAGAUACCCGAGU
This 230-nucleotide ribosomal RNA is filed under the name uncultured bacterium. RNAcentral's name for it is "partial 16S ribosomal RNA". It matches the Rfam family "Bacterial small subunit ribosomal RNA", at positions 562 to 791 of the family's 1533-position model. The record is from RNAcentral.